GACGAACGCUGGCGGCGUGCUUAACACAUGCAAGUCGAACGGAAAGGCCCUGCUUUUGUGGGGUGCUCGAGUGGCGAACGGGUGAGUAACACGUGAGUAACCUGCCCUUGACUUUGGGAUAACUUCAGGAAACUGGGGCUAAUACCGGAUAGGAGCUCCUGCUGCAUGGUGGGGGUUGGAAAGUUUCGGCGGUUGGGGAUGGACUCGCGGCUUAUCAGCUUGUUGGUGGGGUAGUGGCUUACCAAGGCUUUGACGGGUAGCCGGCCUGAGAGGGUGACCGGCCACAAUGGGACUGAGAGACGGCCCAGACUGCUACGGGAGGCAGCAGGGGGGAAUAUUGCACAAUGGGGGGAAGUCUGAUGCAGCAGCGCCGCGUGCGGGAUAACGGCCUUCGGGUUGUAAACCGCUUUCGCCUGUGACGAAGCGUGAGUGACGGUAAUGGAUAAAGAAGCACCGGCUAACUACGUG
Molecule: ribosomal RNA, 468 nt
Filed under: uncultured bacterium
Lineage: Bacteria
Description: partial 16S ribosomal RNA
Rfam family: Bacterial small subunit ribosomal RNA
Source: RNAcentral